Brassica napus (rape) is the source of this 102-nucleotide non-coding RNA. Lineage: Eukaryota; Viridiplantae; Streptophyta; Magnoliopsida; Brassicales; Brassicaceae. The record is from Rfam.
AUGUUAUAAACAGGAGAGAUGGUUGGCAUCUCCUCUGAAAGAGACGGGAUUUACCUUCGGGUCCUGAACUUAUCUGGUUGCUUAAACUUACAAUUAUUCUUU